Molecule: ribosomal RNA, 434 nt
Filed under: uncultured Clostridium sp.
Lineage: Bacteria; Bacillati; Bacillota; Clostridia; Eubacteriales; Clostridiaceae
Also listed under: 1 other name
Description: partial 16S ribosomal RNA
Rfam family: Bacterial small subunit ribosomal RNA
Source: RNAcentral
ACGGGAGGCAGCAGUGGGGAAUAUUGCACAAUGGGGGGAACCCUGAUGCAGCGACGCCGCGUGAGUGAAGAAGUAUUUCGGUAUGUAAAGCUCUAUCAGCAGGGAAGAAGAUGACGGUACCUGACUAAGAAGCACCGGCUAAAUACGUGCCAGCAGCCGCGGUAAUACGUAUGGUGCAAGCGUUAUCCGGAUUUACUGGGUGUAAAGGGAGCGCAGGUGGCGAUGCAAGCCAGAAGUGAAAGCCCGGGGCUCAACCCCGGUACUGCUUUUGGAACUGUGUUGCUGGAGUGCAGGAGGGGCAGGCGGAAUUCCUGGUGUAGCGGUGAAAUGCGUAGAUAUCAGGAGGAACACCGGUGGCGAAGGCGGCCUGCUGGACUGUAACUGACACUGAGGCUCGAAAGCGUGGGGAGCAAACAGGAUUAGAUACCCUGGUA